Molecule: ribosomal RNA, 468 nt
Filed under: uncultured bacterium
Lineage: Bacteria
Description: partial 16S ribosomal RNA
Rfam family: Bacterial small subunit ribosomal RNA
Source: RNAcentral
GACGAACGCUGGCGGCGUGCUUAACACAUGCAAGUCGAACGGAAAGGCCCUGCUUUUGUGGGGUGCUCGAGUGGCGAACGGGUGAGUAACACGUGAGUAACCUGCCCUUGACUUUGGGAUAACUUCAGGAAACUGGGGCUAAUACCGGAUAGGAGCUCCUGCUGCAUGGUGGGGGUUGGAAAGUUUCGGCGGUUGGGGAUGGACUCGCGGCUUAUCAGCUUGUUGGUGGGGUAGUGGCUUACCAAGGCUUUGACGGGUAGCCGGCCUGAGAGGGUGACCGGCCACAUUGGGACUGAGAUACGGCCCAGACUCCUACGGGAGGCAGCAGUGGGAAAUAUUGCACAAUGGGCGGAAGCCUGAUGCAGCAACGCCGCGUGCGGGAUGACGGCCUUCUGGUUGUAAACCGCUUUCGCCUGUGACGAAGCGUGAGUGACGGUAAUGGGUAAAGAAGCACCGGCUAACUACGUG